CCUACGGGAGGCAGCAGUGAGGAAUAUUGGUCAAUGGGCGGAAGCCUGAACCAGCCAAGUCGCGUGAGGGAAUAAGGCCCUACGGGUCGUAAACCUCUUUUGCCGGGGAGCAAGGGCGGGGACGUGUCCCGGCCCGGAGAGUACCCGGAGAAAAAGCAUCGGCUAACUCCGUGCCAGCAGCCGCGGUAAUACGUAGGGGGCAAGCGUUAUCCGGAUUUACUGGGUGUAAAGGGGGCGCAGACGGCAAUGCAAGCCAGGAGUGAAAGCCCGGGGCCCAACCCCGGGAC
Molecule: ribosomal RNA, 287 nt
Filed under: uncultured bacterium
Lineage: Bacteria
Description: partial 16S ribosomal RNA
Rfam family: Bacterial small subunit ribosomal RNA
Source: RNAcentral